This 494-nucleotide long non-coding RNA is filed under the name Marmota monax (woodchuck). The record is from RNAcentral. Lineage: Eukaryota; Metazoa; Chordata; Mammalia; Rodentia; Sciuridae.
GGCUUCCAACUAGGGCUCAUCAAUGUGAAGUAAGCAAAAUGAAUAUUAUUUUGCCAUUUUUUUAAGUGAGCACCCUGGGAGAUGAAGUUGUUUUACAGUCACAGAUUUUUUUUUUACUUCAGUCCAUUUUAUUUUAUUUUUAUUUAACAUAUGAGUUUGCCACUGCCUACUUUUCCUACACUAUGAGAUUCAUCAACUUUACACAACAUUGAAAUUUCAGAUUGUUCCUACUCACCCUCAUCUAAUAUAUCCUUCAUAUAGCAGCCAGACUAUCCUCUUACAAUUCUAACUUUACUCUUUCUCCCCUCAAUAUAAAAGCUUUUAAUGACUUCCUUUGAAUGUAAGAGAAAUAUCCAUAAUUGCCUGAUUAUCUGGUCUUUCUUUCUUUAGCUUCCUUUUCUGUGACUCUUCCUACUCCCAUAAUCUCUUCCCACACUGACCUCCUUUUGGCUCUCAUAUGUACCAAAACAGGCAGGUAUUUGGGUAUAAUUUCU